CCAGCGGCCGGUGUGUGCGGUGCUGCUCCCGGCGCGGUGACGGCUUCUGGAUGGAGUUUCAAUUAUUGUACGAGACCACAAUGUGCGGCAGUACGUAUGCCGCCGUUGGUACCGAGAUUAGAAACGUCCAUCUUGAUCUGCCAGUCAAAACUCAACUGCGGCAGACGGAAACUUCAGGUCUCUCAAGGUACGGCUGGCAGUUCGCGAGUUGAGGACACUGCUCCAGUACACCGACCAAUGGACGUCACUUCAAUGGAUCACGUGACCUACUUGACCUUGUGGUGCUGAUGUCCUGCUGGGGGCCGUCCGAGCGUCCGGUUGUUUCAUCCUGUUCGAAGGAGCCGCUCGAAGACCACAGCUCAUGUGCGGCAGCACAAGCCGCCGUUGGUACCGAGAUUAGAGACGUCUUUCUCCCGGUCAAAACUGGACUGCGGGAUAUGGAAACUUCAGCUCU
This is a long non-coding RNA of Amphibalanus amphitrite, 454 nucleotides long. RefSeq lists it as uncharacterized. The transcript is spliced from 5 exons. NCBI's taxonomy places the organism in Eukaryota, Metazoa, Arthropoda, Thecostraca, Balanomorpha, Balanidae. The record is from RefSeq and is a predicted model, not a curated record.